UAUGCUUUUGGAAUUGUGCUCUUGGAAACUCUCUGUGGACGAAAGAAUUUGGACUGGUCCCAAACUGAUGAAGAAGAUGUCCAUUUGCUAACUGUUUUUACGAGAAAAGCAGAACAAGAGCAGCUCACAGAUAUGGUUGACAGAAACGAGGAUAUGCAGCUCCACAGAGAAGCAGUGACAGAAAUGAUGAGCCUUGCUGCGUGGUGUCUACAGGGCGAUUUCUCCAAGAGGCCUUCCAUGUCAUUGGUGGUUAAGGCACUCGAAGGUUUGGUGACUGUUGAAACCAACUUAGAUUAUAAUUUCAGAAAUGUACCUAAGGUUGGGGCAGGCAACCAACCGAGGGAAGCCGCUAUCAGCUCAAAAUUGCCAUCAGUUUUAUCGGGACCGAGGUAAACAGUAUGUCUAAUUCUAGCACAAAUUCUUACGGUGUAUUAGAUUACAAUUCAUGAAUGUAAUAUUCAGUAACUUUGCAUUAGAUUUUUUGAGUUUCAUGUAAUUAUCAUGUAGAAGCUCCUCAAUUCAUAUGUGACAGGAGAUAUAAUAUUGCAUUAGCUUUUCCUCAUUUUUUGUAAGGGAAGUAUCAAGACUCGAGAACAGCAUGAAUCGGAUAUCGAGGGCCAGAUGCUCUGCCAAUUACAGAAACAAAAAAUUAUCUUAAACAUGAUUGUAUGGUAUUCAUACUGUUAAAAUAAAUUCAGUUUAAAUUGGGAAAAGACUCAAAUAUGUCACGGAACUAUUAAAAAUGUGCCAUAUAUUAAAAGCUGGCUCAUCUAUACAAAAAUACAUCUAGUUCAGCAAAACCAUUUUUGCCGCGUGCCCUCUUAUUAGAGGUUCACGUCAAGUAAUUAAAAAGACUCAAUAUUUAAUUAACACUCGACCUAUUUAAAUAAAACCCGACCCAUCUCCUAACCCAUUUCCCUUUAUCCAACCCACAUUAUGUACUUGCAAACAUUAAAAUCAUCAAAUUCCAAUAUUGAAAGUUAUAACUUGGAAAUGGUCAAAAUGGUCCCGUCAGUGGAAAGAUAGAGCCCAACCCCAUUAUUUUCCUAAAAAGUAUUUUCCUUCGUACCGACCACACAAACACACUCAUAGUCAAUUAAGUUUGGAAAAAAAUAGCACAUUGAAAAAGUUUUUUGAGGUCCCUCUGUAUAUUGACUGGGCAAAGAUUAAGAUAUUUUGUACAUUGGAACAUCAAUUUUGACUUGGACUUUGGAAUUUAGGGCACAUCCCAUUCAGUACAAGACUUGACAUGAAUCUUAAUGAGGAGGAAAGUGCUUAACAAUUCCAAAUUAAUUGUUAGUAACAAUUUGUAACAUUACUUGGAAUUAUAUGGAAUGUUGUAGACAUUCUGAAAUUGCACUUGUCUCGAGAUAUGACGAGGCACAAACACUGUCUUGCCAAUAUUAGUUAUUGGUAUUCUUGAAUUAUUUUCCAUCACCAUUACUCGAUCGCCUUUAUAUUUGUAAUUUGCUUAUGUUCAUCAAAUUUUUCUCGUCACUGGUCAUGUGAUUGGAACAUCCUGAAUCAACUACCUAUCAUUUUAAUAAUCACCAAGCUUUCGUUAUUUGAUCAGGCGCCCCUCCCUGUAUAUUUAGCGGUACUGCUCCACUACUUGCCGUACAGUUAGUGAAACAGGGCAGAAAAUGCUGAAAGAUGUGAUAAGUUUUUUUUUUUUUUUGAAUGGUGAGGGUCGGGUAUGGAGUGAGGUAAGGAAAAAAAUAUAAUUGGAGGAAAAUAAGUUUAUUUGAAAAGCAUUUUCCAAAAUAUUUAAAUCAAUCAUGAGAAAAUUAAAAAACAUUUUCUAGAAUGAGAGAUAAAAUGAGAAAAGUAAAAGAGAAAGUAAAGAUAUUUAAAAAAAAAGAAAAAAGAAAAGUCAAAGAUGAUUUUAUUUUUGGAGGAAAAUUUAGAUGGUUUUAUAGCGAGUCCGGAACCUAAAUAAGCCAAAAAAAAUAAAAGUGACCAAAAUAAGUCAUUAUUCUAGUAAGUAACUAAAAUAGGCUUAGUGGAAGAAAUUUUUUUGUUUUAUGCAAUAUUCCAAACGUUUUCUGUUAGUCUCAUAACGUGUAUAUUUUAAUAUAUAACAGAGCUGUUUCUUACACUUUGUAAAGUGUAUUUUUUUCUUACACUUUGUAAAGUGGAAGUUUUUCGUACACUUAAGUUGAGAUUGAUAGCUCAGCUUUAUUCUUAGAUUUUGUAUUUUUGCAUUACUUAAGCAUCCUCAUUUGUAGUAUCAGCAUAGAGUGUAUCAUAAACUCUAUGACGAUCACAGAAUAUCUAGUUUUCUCUAGCUCUUAUUUUCUUCAUGCUUGUUAAUUAGUAGAGGUUCGUUACCUCAUUAAGAUUAGUAAGGUAAGGCCUAGCCUCCCUUUCUUGUACUUUUCUCUUUAUUAAUAAAACUAGACCUAGGCACACAUUGCCUAGCGGAAUUGUUUUUUUAAAAAAAAACGUUUUUCUUACACUUUAUAAAGUGGAAGAAAGAAUUUUGUUUUACAAAGAGGAAUAUUUUUCACGUUUUGUAUUAAAUUGUAUCUCUUUAUGAAGCUUUUGAGUGUUUGUGAUACAAUUAUAUUGAUUUGACAUAUCAUUAAAACGGAAAAAAUUAUUACAUUAUGCAUUUUUAUUUUUUAUUCUGAAAGUUCUUCCAAGCUCUAUUUAAGGAAAAAACUAUUACAUUAUGUAUCAUAAGUGUUAACUUGAUUUGAUCUAUGUAGUCAUUUGGAAGUUGGAACCCUCAAAAAAUCGGUCAACGAUUCGUUACUAUAGAUAAUCCACUCUCCAAAAUUUACUUGUACUUGUGACAAAAAUGAAGUAGAGUAUUUUUCGACUAUAAUCAAAUUAUAAUCAGUACUAUUUAUACCCAUUUUUUUUAUAAAUUGAUGAAAGAAAUUUAUGAUAUCGGACAUUAAUUAAAUAUUUAACAUUAUGUUUGGGAAGACAAUUAUAAUAAACGGUAUUUUCGUCAUGUAUAAUUUCGCCAUCCCAAUAAAUCGAAACUGUUACUUUUGACUUAGAAGACAUUUUUUUUGUGAAUGAAAUGAAGAAAAAUAGAAGACUAAAGAUGUUGAAAGUGCUAUGUUUGAACGUCCUUAAAUAGAGCUUGAGGAGUUCUCAGAAUAAAAAUAUAAGUAUACAUAAUGUAAUAUUCCUCUUUGUAAAACAAAAAUUUUUCUUCCACUUUAUGAAGUGUGAGAAAAACUUCCACUUUACAAAGUGUAAGAAAAACUUCCGUUAUAUAUUAAAAUAUACACGUUAUGAGACUAACGGAAAACGUUUGAAAUAUUACAUAAAACAGAAUUUUUUCUUGCACUAAGCCUGUUUUAUUUACUUACUAGAAUAGUGGCUUAUUUUGAUCACUUUUAUUUUUUUGUGGCUUAUUUAGGUUCCGGACUCUUUUAUAGCCAAUAGGAUAUUGUGGUCUUUUAUCCUCUGUCGUGCCACAAAAAAGCAUCGUGCCAUUUAGUUUUACCGUAUUUUGUACGGUUGAACAAUAACUAAUAGCCAGUCCCAUUCAGAAGAAGACUUGACUUGAACCUGAUUGAGGAGGAAAGUUUUUUUCCCGAUAAAAAGGUGACAUGACUUGCUAUUCAAUUGUUAGCAACAAUUUGUAACAUUGCUGUUAAAAUUAUAAAAUGAAAGACAUUGACAUGUAAACGUUACAUGAUUAUCUGCUUACGGAUUGUUGCACAUGCGAACAUUUGAGCGAAUGAAAGGAGUGUUACAGGAACAGACGUUAGGAAAGUAAUAACACUGGGAAACAACUGAAUUUAGUAUUUUUAACAUGAAAAAUAGAUUAGUAUGUAAAACAAAUUGGUAACUUUUAAAACAAUAAUACAUACAUUUUGAACUUGUAAUUUUUAAAAUAUAAUGAUCGUUAAGUGGUAAAAUCUUAAUAGCUUAACCAGUCAAAUUAAAAUGUGGAUCCAGUUUACAAAGUUGCUGGAAAGGGUGUUACAAGUCAACAAAAGUUUGCUUUAUUUACUUACAGAUAUAAGUGUCAACAACACACCUAAACUGUACUUUUUUUUUAGUUUUAUAUCUAAAUUAUUGAGAGUGUAACUAUCACUUAUUAGUUUGAAAAAUACACAUCUCUCUUUUAUAACACUCUCAUCAUGUGUGUGUGAUACACUCUCUAUUUUACUUAAAAAAAUUGUCACAUCAUACUUCACAUGGACAAAACAUCUCAUCUUGGCAAAAAUUAAAUAAAUUAAGUAUUAGUUAAAAUUAAAGAUUAAAAAAUUAUUUUCCCAAAAAAUUAAUUUGUUUAUAAAAUAAAAUGUAAAUUUUUUUUUUACCCCACUCCAUCAAUUCCUCUCACCGUACCCUCCCCCUCCCCCCUCAUUUUUUAAGUUUAAAUUUCUUUUAUAAAAGUAUAUAAACUUUUUUUACUUCAUCUCCCCCCUCCCCCUCUACAAAUACUAAUUUAGCUAUCAUUUUAUUUUUUAAAAAUAAAAAUUCUACCCACUCCACCUAACCGUCCGCUUCCAAUUUUUUUCUCGUUUUGUGUUAGAUAUAUAUAUAUCAAAAAUAUGUUUUACUUGCUGCGGCAAGACUACUUUUAAAAUAAAUUUUUUAUUUAUGUUAUAUUCGGUAUGAAAAAAUUCCUAAAAAUAUAUGUACAUAUCAAACACAUAACGAGAAAAAUGUAAAAAUAAAUAAAUAAAUUAGUAAAUAGGAUGGAGUAGAAUUUUUAUUUUUUAAAAAUAAAAUAAUAUCAAUUUUUUUUGGGGGGAGGGGUGGGGGGAUGGCUGUGGUUUUCUUUUUUUGGGAGGGUGAAGUAUGAAUUUUUAUAAAUAUAUUAUAAAAGAUUAUUUAAAAAAUAAUAAUAAGAUUAUGGGGUGGAGGGGGGUGGAGGAGGGUGUACGGGGAGGAGGUAGUGAAGUGGAGUAAGAAAAAUAAUUUAAAUUUUAUUUUAAAAAAAACAUUUUUUUGGGGGAUAGUAAUACUUAAAUCUUUAAUUUUUUAUUAAUAUUAAUAGUUUAUUAUUUAAUUUUUGUCAAGGUGGAAUAUUUUAUCCAUGAGGAAUGUCACGUGUCAAGGUUUUUUUAAAAUAAAAUAGAGAGUGCAUUCUCAAAGUAAUAAGUGAUAGUUUAGAUAUGAAACUAAUUUUUUUUUAACUUAAGUGUGUUUUUGACACUUAUCUAUUACUUAUAGAAGUGGCAAAAUAGGUAUUUAAUACGAGUAUCCACUCAUAUUUACCCAUUUUAAAUGGGUUGGGUAUCCAACUCAUUUAAAAUAGGAAAAAUUAUAGAAAUCCCGCCUUUUAGUUUACUUAUAACCAUUAUCCCCAUAAUUUUUACAAAUCUCCAAAAUCCCUCAUUUUCGCGCAUCAGAUUAGUGUAUCUCGCGCAUCAGAUUAGUGUAUCAUGUAUAAAAUGUAAUGUAUCUUACUUAACGAUUAAUGUAUCUCGCGCAUCAGAUUAAUGUAUCAACGCUUAUAUUAUUGUAUUCGUUUGAGGGGUUUCUGUAAUUAUAAACUUUUAAGGGAUAGAUUGUAAUUUUGCCUUAAAAGUAUGUGAUUUAUGUAAUUUGCUCUUUAAAAAUGGGUAAAAACGAGUAAUACUCAAAUACCCAUUUAAAAGUGGGUAGUUAAAUGGGUAAUAUGGGUAAAAAAUGUUCAUUCAUAAAAAAAAAAAAGAAAAGUAAUUAGAGGUGGGUGGUAAAAAAAGCUUUUUAUUUUUUUUUAGAUAGNNNNNNNGGGGUUAGGGGGUGGGUGGGUUGGCGGGGGGAAGGGGGAGUCGGAGUAGUAAAAAAAUAAUAAUUUUUGAGGCGUUGGAGUUGGGGGUAGGGAUGGGGGUGGGCAGGUUAAAUUUAAAAGUUCUAAGUAUUUUUUUCGUGGGGUGUGGGGUGUGGGUUGAAGAGUAUAUUUUGCUUUUGAAGCUUUUAACAUGAUCCCUAUAAUAAUAUGGGUAAAUAUGGAUACUCAUAUUACCCAUUGAGGAACUCGUUUUUAUCCAUCUAAAAUAUGAGUUGAGUAGAGUAUUUUACCCAUUUUUAUUAACUCAUUUUCGAUCAACUCAUAUUCGACUCAACUUGCUAGUUUGCCACUCCUACUUAUACAUAAUACGAACAAGAAGAAGACUGAGGGAGUAGUAACAAGCAAACCGAUACAUAUAAUCUUUCUAUUAGCUUUGGCUUUGUUGAGAAAGCAAUGAUGGAAGAACAUAGACAAUAUUUUCGUAUCCUUUUCUUCAUUUAUCUUCUCUUCUGUUCUUCUCAAUUCGCUAUAUCCCAACGUUUAGUGAAUUUCAUUUCCGGUGUUCCCACUUUGUGGAUCAACAAACUUACUUAUACACCCAUCCUUCUGGAACGAAAUACUGGCCUACAAUUCCUCUACGGCUUCUCUUGCAAUUUCUAUCCGACAGAAUGCUUUCUUGGUAUCUCAUUAGUAGUUUACAACAGCACCGCUGGUGAGACCAUUUAUAUAGAGGGAGGACACUUAGUUUGGUCUGCUAAUCGAGACCGUCCAGAGAAAGCCAAUGCAACCUUGCAACUAGGCCAAGAUGGCAACUUGGUGUUCGCAGACUCUGAUAGCACUCUUGUUUGGUCCAGUAAUACCACUGGAAAAUCUGUUUCUGGCUUUAACUUGACAGAAACGGGGAAUCUCAUGCUCUUUGAUACGACCAACCGCACAGUUUGGCAGUCUUUUGAUCAUCCUACAGAUUGUUUGCUCCCCGGGAAGAAUUUGGUUUCUGGUCAGAACCUAACAGCAAACUGUUGGUGUUUUUUUAAAAAUGGGGCAGCACAAACAGAUUGAAAAUGUCUCUCAAUAGAUUGAAAUGACUUUCAAUAGCUUUCAAUGAAUUUAUUAAGCAUUGAGGGGCUUUAAAUAGCCAACAUAAAACACAUAUUCUGCAUAAUUUAAAAUUUAAACACCCUAAAAUAUCUCAACAACAUAAACAAACUAACUAAAAUUCAAAAUUCAAAUUAUUCAAACUAAAUAACUUAUUUUGCUAAAAGUUACUGCAGUAACUAAAAGCAAACUUCAACAAAGCAUUUCAGCAGACAAUUCGAGUCAAGGUUUAUUUUCUCUUACUGUUCUCAAUGGACGCUGGGCCACAUACAUAGAUUCUGAUCCACCUCAGUAUUACUACAGUUCAGAUAAUCCCGAUAGUCCUUAUUGGAGUUUUGAUGGUCAUAUCCUUACUGCUUUACAAUAUCCUUCUACAUCGAUAGCUCAAUACAUACAGCUUGGGCAUGAUGGACAUUUACGCAUAUAUCAAUUGGACAACCUUGAAAAUAAUAUGCUCUGCCUUAAUUGGAAAGAGGUAUGUGACAUUUUGACACUCUCUGACUGUGGCUACCCAAUGGUGUGUGGGAGAUACAACAUUUGUGCAAAUGAAGGACAAUGUACUUGUCCGGUUGAAGUCAACUUCUUCAGGCCAUUUUCUGAGAGGAAGCCAAAUCUCGGAGGCACUGAGCUGACGCCCAUUUCUUGUGACUCUUCACAGUAUCAUAGUCUUGUAGAGCUAAAGAAUACUGCAUAUUUUUCAUUUGAGUUCAGUCAUGAACUAAACUCGAGCGUAUUUUGGAUUGAGGGGAAAAAGAUUGAAGAUUGACAAAGGGCAUGUCUGAGUAACUGUUCUUGCAAAGCUGCUGUUUAUGAUCCGUAUCUGAAUAUGAGUCUAGGAGGGAACUGUUUGUUACUGAAUGAAGUCUUCUCUCUCAUGGACAUUGGAGUAGGAACAGCUUUUCUUAAGGUGCAGAAUUCCCCAAAUGCACCGGUCAUUUUCCCUAGACAGAAAAUGCCUUUCAAAGUUAUCAUGGGAUGUACUUUGAUUGGGAUAAUUUUGAUUCUUUCAGUUUGUUCUGCUCUUUCCAAAAAGAGAUCGGAGAAACGCAAAGCUGGUGAUUUUCUGGAUCUAGAACCAAUCUUACCGGGAAUCCUAAUUCGAUUCUCUUACAAUGAGCUGAAAAUAAUUACACAAGAUUUCAGCAUAAAGCUCGGGAAAGGAGGAUUUGGCUCUGUAUAUGAAGGAACACUGAGAAAUGGCACCAAAAUAGAUGUGAAGCAUCUGGAUGGAGUAGGUCAAGUAAAGGAAUCAUUCUUAACAGAAGUAAAGACAGUCGGUGGCAUUCACCAUAUCAAUCUGGUAAAACUCCUUGGAUAUUGUGCCGAAAAAAGCCACAGGCUUCUAAUCUAUGAGUAUACAUGGUGAAUGGAUCGAGGUGGAUCACGCAAGAAAAUGGGCUUACAUGGAACACAAGGCAGAGGAUAAUAUCAGAUAUUGCGAAAGGAUUAGCUUAUCUACAUGAGGAUUGCAGCCAUAAGAUAAUUCAUUUGGACAUUAAACCACAAAACAUCCUUAUAGAUCAAAAUUUCAAUGCUAAGAUAUCUGAUUUUGGUCUGUCGAAGCUAAUUGAGAAAGACAAAAGCAAAGUUGUGACUAGAAUGAGAGGAACGCCGGGGUAUAUAGCCCCUGAAUGGUUGAGCUCAAUAAUCACUGAAAAAGUUGAUGUGUAUGCUUUUGGAAUUGUGCUCUUGGAAACUCUCUGUGGACGAAAGAAUUUGGACUGGUCCCAAACUGAUGAAGAAGAUGUCCAUUUGCUAACUGUUUUUACGAGAAAAGCAGAACAAGAGCAGCUCACAGAUAUGGUUGACAGAAACGAAGAUAUGCAGCUCCACAGAGAAGCAGUGACAGAAAUGAUGAGCAUUGCUGCAUGGUGUCUACAGGGCGAUUUCUCCAAGAGACCAUCCAUGUCAUUGGUGGUUAAGGCACUCGAAGGUUUGGUGACUGUUGAAACCAACUUAGAUUAUAAUUUCAGAAAUGUACCUAAGGUUGGGGCAGGCAACCAACCGAGGGAAGCCGCUAUCAGCUCAAAAUUGCCAUCAGUUUUAUCGGGACCGAGGUAAACAAUGUCUAAUUCUAGCACAAAUUCUUAUGGUGUAUUACAUUACAAUUCAUGAAUGUAAUAUUCGGUAACUUUGCAUUA
Molecule: long non-coding RNA, 8931 nt
Filed under: Solanum tuberosum (potato)
Lineage: Eukaryota; Viridiplantae; Streptophyta; Magnoliopsida; Solanales; Solanaceae
Description: long non-coding RNA (STUB_LNC007690)
Source: RNAcentral